UAGGGAAUAUUGCGCAAUGGAGGAAACUCUGACGCAGCGACGCCGCGUGGGUGAUGAAGGCCUUCGGGUUGUAAAGCCCUGUCGGAAGGGAAGAAAAACAUUAUGGCUAAUAUCCAUAGUGCUUGACGGUACCUUCAAAGGAAGCACCGGCUAACUACGUGCCAGCAGCCGCGGUAAUACGUAGGGUGCUAGCGUUGUUCGGAAUCAUUGGGCGUAAAGCGAGUGUAGGCUGUUUAUUAAGUCGGGUGUGAAAGCCCUGGGCUCAACCCAGGAAGUGCAUCCGAAACUAAUAAACUAGAAGACGGUAGAGGAAGGUGGAAUUCCAAGUGUAGAGGUGAAAUUCGUAGAUAUUUGGAGGAAUACCGGUGGCGAAGGCGGCCUUCUGGGCCGUUCUUGACGCUGAGACUCGAAAGCGUGGGUAGCAAACAGG
Molecule: ribosomal RNA, 430 nt
Filed under: uncultured bacterium
Lineage: Bacteria
Description: bacterial SSU rRNA
Rfam family: Bacterial small subunit ribosomal RNA
Source: RNAcentral